Molecule: transfer RNA, 66 nt
Filed under: Mantis religiosa (praying mantis)
Lineage: Eukaryota; Metazoa; Arthropoda; Insecta; Mantodea; Mantidae
Description: tRNA-Glu
Source: RNAcentral
AUUUAUAUAGUUUAAAUAAAACAUUACAUUUUCAUUGUAAAAAUAAAAUUUUAAUUUUUAUAAAUA